RNAcentral lists this long non-coding RNA (243 nucleotides) under Gossypium barbadense (sea-island cotton). RNAcentral describes it as "long non-coding RNA (GBAR_LNC014364)". Lineage: Eukaryota; Viridiplantae; Streptophyta; Magnoliopsida; Malvales; Malvaceae. The record is from RNAcentral.
AUCUUUUUAUUGAAAACCUAAUGUACAACCCAAUUUUAGCCCGAGCCAACACCAAAUGAACCCAAACCAAAUCAAACACAAAAAAACGAAACCCAAAUAAUAGUCCAGUUCAGAUUACAAUACUAGCCCAAAUUAAAAUGUAAAACCCAAGUUACAAGCCCAAAGCCCGACGGCCCAAAACAUUAACUAAGUUUCAGUAAAACACAACUGAAACCCUAACCCUAAUGCUCCUGCACCGCUCCC